Molecule: ribosomal RNA, 460 nt
Filed under: uncultured bacterium
Lineage: Bacteria
Description: partial 16S ribosomal RNA
Rfam family: Bacterial small subunit ribosomal RNA
Source: RNAcentral
CCUACGGGGGGCAGCAGUGAGGAAUAUUGGUCAAUGGACGAGAGUCUGAACCAGCCAAGUAGCGUGAAGGAUGACUGCCCUAUGGGUUGUAAACUUCUUUUAUAUGGGAAUAAAACGUUCCACGUGUGGGAUUUUGUAUGUACCAUAUGAAUAAGGAUCGGCUAACUCCGUGCCAGCAGCCGCGGUAAUACGGAGGAUCCGAGCGUUAUCCGGAUUUAUUGGGUUUAAAGGGAGCGUAGGUGGGUUGUUAAGUCAGUUGUGAAAGUUUGCGGCUCAACCGUAAAAUUGCAGUUGAUACUGGCAGUCUUGAGUACAGUAGAGGUAGGCGGAAUUCGUGGUGUAGCGGUGAAAUGCUUAGAUAUCACGAAGAACUCCGAUUGCGAAGGCAGUUCACUAGACUGCAACUGACACUGAGGCUCGAAAGUGUGGGUAUCAAACAGGAUUAGAUACCCGAGUAGUC